This 197-nucleotide unclassified non-coding RNA is filed under the name uncultured fungus. Its description in RNAcentral is "sequence contains ITS1, 5.8S rRNA gene". Lineage: Eukaryota; Fungi. The record is from RNAcentral. RNAcentral also lists the same sequence under 1 other name.
CUGAACCGUCGACACGAGUUGUUGCUGGUCCUCGAAAGGGGAUACGUGCACACUCUGUCUACACAUCCACUCACACCUGUGCACCCUUGUAGUUCUAUGGCCUGGGGAUCCUGUCCUCUUGCUGUGGUCCUACGUCUUUACACACACACCAUAACAAAGUAUCAUGGAAUGUACAUCGCGUUUAACGCAAUACAAUA